This is a long non-coding RNA of Cyprinus carpio (common carp), 3036 nucleotides long. NCBI's taxonomy places the organism in Eukaryota, Metazoa, Chordata, Actinopteri, Cypriniformes, Cyprinidae. The record is from Ensembl.
AUGGUGGAUGUUUCAGCAGGACUCAUGAUUGUGGAAGUCUCUUUUGUAGUAGAUGUUUCUGCUUCACUAGUGGUGGAUAUUUCAGGUGUAGUUGUGAUUGUUAAAGUCUCUAAUGUUGUAGAUGUUUCUGCUACAAUGAUAGUAGAGGUUUCAGCUGGAAUUGUUGUGAUUGUGGAAGUCUCUGUUGUUGUAGAUGUUUCUACUUCACUAGUGGUGGAUGUUUCAGGAGGUGUCGUUAUUGUGGAAGUUUCUUCUGAAGUAGAUGUUUCUGCUUCAGUAGUGGUUGAUGUUUCAGCAGGCGUAGUGAUUGUGGAAGUCUCUGUUGUUUUAGAUGUUUCUGCUACACUAAUGGUGGAUGUUUCAGCAGGACUCAUGAUUGUGGAAGUCUCUUUUGUAGUAGAUGUUUCUGCUUCACUAGUGGUGGAUAUUUCAGGUGUAGUUGUGAUUGUUAAAGUCUCUAAUGUGGUAGAUGUUUCUGCUAAAAUGAUAGUGGAUGUUUCAGCUGGAAUUGUUGUGAUUGUGGAACUCUCUGUUGUUGUAGAUGUUUCUGCUACACUGAUAAUAGAGGUUUCAGCAGGAAUUGUUGUGAUUGUGGAAGUAUCUGUUCUGGCAGAUGUUUCUACUUCACUAAUUGUGGAUGUUUCAAUGGCAGUUGUUGUGAGUGUGGAAGUCUCUGUUGUUGUAGAUGUUUCUGCUACACUGAUAGUAGAGGCUUCAGCAGGAAUUGUUGAGAUUGUGGAAGUAACUAUUGGUGUAGAUGUUCCUGCAGCACUAGUGGUGGAUAUUUCAGCAGGAAUUGUUGUGAUUUUGGAAGUCUCUGUUGUUGACGACGUAUCUGUAGCACUAGUGGUAAAUGUUUCAGCAGGAAUUGUUGUGAUUGUGGAAGUAUCUGUUCUUGUAGAUGUUUCUACUGGCCUAAUUGUGGAUGUUUUAACCACAGUUGUUGUGAGUGUGGAAGUCUCUGUUGUUGAAGAUAUUUCUGCUUCACUAGUGGUGGAUAUUUCAGCAGGUGUCGUUUUUGUGGAAGUCUCUUUUGUAGUAGAUGUUUCUGCUACACUGAUACUAGAGGUUUCCACAGCAAUUGUUGUAAUUGUGGAAGUCUCUGUUGUUGUAGAUGUUUCUGCUGCACUAGUGGUGGAUGUUUUAGCAGGAGUGGCUGUGAGUGUGGAUGUCUCUGUUGUUGUAGAUGUUUCUGCUAAACUAAAAGUGGAUGUUUCAACUGGAUUUGUUAUGAUUGUGGAAAUCUCUGUUGUUGUAGAUGUUUCUACUUCAAUAGUGUUGGAAGUUUCAGGAGGUGUCGGUAUUGUGGAAGUCUCUGUGCUUGUAGAUGUUUCUGAUGCAUUAGUGGUGGAUGAUUCGGCAGGAUUUGUUGUGAUUGUGGAAGUCUCUUUUGACGUAGAUGUUUCUGCUUCAGUAGUGGUUGAUGUUUCGGCAGGAGUAGUGAUUGUGGAAGUCUCUGUUGCUGUAGAUGUUUCUGCUGCACUAGUGGUGGAUGUUUCUGCUGCAGUUGUUGUGAUUGUGGAAGUCUCUGUUGUAGAUGUUUCUGCUGCACUAGUGGUGGAUGUUUCAUCAGGAGUUGUGAUUGUGGAAGUCUCUGUUGUUAUAGAUGGUUCUGCUAAACUAGUGGUGGUUGUUUCUUUAGGAGUUGUGAUUGUGGAAGUCUCUGUUGUUGUAGAUGUUUCCGCAGGAGUCGUGAUUGUGGAAGUCUCUGUUGAUGUAGAUGUUUCUGAUAAACUAGUAGUGGAUGUUUCAUCAGCAGUGGUGAUUGUGGAAGUCUGUGUUGUUGUAGAUGUUUCUGUUAAACUAGUGGUGGAUGUUUUAUCAGGAGUCGUCAUUGUGGAAGUCUCUGUUGUUGUAGAUGUUUCUAAUGCAUUAGUGCUGGAUGUUUCAUCAGGUGUCGUGAUUGUGGAAGUCUCUGACAUUGUAGAUGUUUCUGGUGCACUAGUGGUGGAUGUUUCAUCAGGAGUUGUCAUUGUUGAAGUCUCUGUUGUUGUAGAUGUUUCUGGUGCACUAGUGGUGAAUGUUUCAUCAGGAGUUAUGAUUGUAGAAGCCUCUGUUGUUGUAGAUGUUUCCGCAGGAAUCGUGAUUGUGGAACUCUCUGUUGAUGUAGAUGUUUCCUGUGUACUAGUGAUGGAUGUUUCAGCAAGAGUCGUGAUUGUGGAAGUCUCUGUUGUUGUAGAUGUUUCCGGUGCACUAGUGGUGGAUGUUUUAUCUGGAGUCAUGAUUGUGAAAGUCUCUGUUGUUGUAGAUGUUUCUACUCCACUAGUGGUGGACGCUUCAUCAGGAGUUGUGAUUGUGGAAGUCUCUAUCAUUGUAGAUUUUUCUACUAAACUAGUGGUGGAUGUUUCAUCAGGUGUUGUGAUUGUGAAAGUCUGUGUUUUUGUAGACGUUUCUGCUAAACUAGUGGUGGAUGUUUCAGCAGGAGUCAUGAUUGUGGAAGUCUCUGUUGUUGUAAAUGUUUCAGCAGGAGUUGUGAUUGUGUAAGUCUCUGUUGAUGUAGAUUUUUCUGAUAAACUAGUGGUGGAUGUUUCAUCAGGAGUUGUGAUUGUGUAAGUCUCUGUUGUUGUAGAUGUUUCUGCUAAACUAGUGGUGGAUGUUUCAUCAGGAGUCGUCAUUGUGGAAGUCUCUGUUGUUGUAGAUGUUUCUGGUGCACUAGUGCUGGAUGUUUCAUCAGGUGUCGUGAUUGUGCAAGUCUCUGACUUUGUAGAUAUUUCUAUUGCACUAAUGGUGGAUGUUUCAUCAGGAGUUAUGAUUGUAGAAGCCUCUGUUGUUGUAGAUGUUUCUGCAGGAAUCGUGAUUGUGGAAGUCUCUGUUGAUGUAGAUGUUUCCUGUGUACUAGUGGUGGAUGUUUCAGCAAGAGUCAUGAUUGUGGAAGUCUCUGUUGUUGUAGAUGUUUCCGGUGCACUAGUGGUGGAUGUUUUAUCUGGAGUCAUGAUUGUGGAAGUCUCUGUUGUUGUUGAUGGUUCUGCUGAAAUACUGGUGGAUGCUUCAGCAGGAGUCAUGAUUGUUGAAGUCUCUGUUGUUGUAGAUUUUUCU